This is a non-coding RNA of Schizosaccharomyces pombe (fission yeast), 1394 nucleotides long. Lineage: Eukaryota; Fungi; Ascomycota; Schizosaccharomycetes; Schizosaccharomycetales; Schizosaccharomycetaceae. The record is from the annotation of a GenBank genome assembly.
UCGGCAUUAUAUACCAACAAAAAAAUUCCCAACAUUCUGAUAAAUUUAGUAGAAUACAUGUAAAUGAAAUUGUUCUUGUCAAAGUACAACUUUCCUUAAAAAAUUUUUACAAUGUUAAAUAGGUUUUUACACUAUCCCGCAUACAUAUAAGUUGAAUGUUCAUAAUACUUAUUUUAUUCGUUUUGAUAAAUCAUUAAAUCUUUUUAUAUACGAUCAUUCUCAAAGUACUUCAAUCCAACAACCUGUUAACUUCAGCUGCAAGAGUUGUGCACACAUUUAUACAUACAGAAAUACUAAAUGCGAAAAUGGCUCCGAUUUGUUAGACUGUUCCAAUCAAGUCGGCAAAGACAACGGAAAAGCGUAAUAGAAAUUAAUCGGUUACAUUGAUGUACAUCAAGGCAUCUUUGACACGUUCCCUUACAUCAGGAGAUGAGUGAUUUUGUAGCAUCUGCAAACAUUCUCCAAAUCCGAGAUUUUGUAAGAUACUUGCUCUUUCCUUAUCUUCCUGGCUUGGAGAUGUACAUUGUUUGGGCCAUAGAAUGUUAAUACAGAGCCAAAUUCCGGCCAACAGAAUUUCGGAGUUUGGUUCAUAAGUGUCCUCUUCAUAAAUAUCGAAAGGAGGACGCAUUUCCCUAUCAAAAUCAUCUUCUUGCAAAUCCAUUUCACUGUCACUUUCCGGAGAUGACACAUUUGUGGACAUUUGCUCGGGCUUGAGACGUUGUGCUUCUUGUAGCAUAAUUUCCUUCACCAAUAGUAGUAGUUUGGUUUGCCUUAGGAUAGAAUCCCUAAGCUCACCAUCGCUGGCAGCGAUGUGCACCAAAAUGUAAAUACUGGGUUCAAUUAGGAUAGGAUUUUUACUUUCUAAUUUUUCAAGCAAAAUUUUUGCUAACAACUCCAUAGGAACCAUUUUCAAAAGAAAAUCCACGCUUUCUUCUUUCUGACAUGUAAAAUUUCGCAGCACUUGCAACAUUUGCUCUUGGACCCCCAGAUCUUCGUCAUUGCAAAGUUCCACAAGCUUUGAAGCACCGAUCUUUUUUAAAGGUUCAAGCUGGAUCGUCUCAUCAUCACCAAAUACAACAUGCCGCAGAACCCACACGGUCUUCUUUCUUAGACUGCUAUCUUUCGUACUAAUAUUUGAUAUCAAAGUAUCAAUGAAAUUUGUAGUAAGGAAUUUCUCUCUCAAAGGAGAAAACUUAAGUACCAAGUUACAAAUGGCAGACGUAGCAGUCGAUUUGACUCUAGUAUCCGGGUCAGAAAGCAACUUUAUUAAUGGUUCGCUCACGUCUGCAUCGGCAAGGCCCGUACGUAAAAUGUAAACGCUUCUCGAGAGACUUAAUAAGCAUUCACAAGCAGCCUUUUUCACGCUGUUAGAAUUGAUUUUCAAAGCAUUAAUG